CUAUAGGAACUAGGGUUAAUAUGGGUUGGCUAUGGGAACCAGAGUUAAUAUAGGUCGCUAUAGGAACCAGGGUUAAUAUGGGUUGGCUAUGGGAACCAGGGUUAAUAUGGGUUUCUAUGGGAACCAGGGUUAAUAUGGGUUGGCUAUGGGAACCAGGGUUAAUAUGGGUUGCUAUAGGAACCAGGGUUAAUAUGUGUUGGCUAUGGGAACCAGAGUUAAUAUGGGUUUCUACACUCCAGUACAGUAGGUAUCAUAAAGUUGGUUGGACAGGUGUGAACACUCCAGUACAGUAGGUAUCAUAACGUUGGUUGGACAGGUGGGGACUCUCCAGUACAGUAGGUAUCAUAACGUUGGUUGGACAGGUGGGGACACUCCAGUACAGUAGGUAUCAUAACGUUGGUUGGACAGGUGGGGACACUCCAGUACAGUAGGUAUCAUAACGUUGGUUGGACAGGUGGGGACACUCCAGUACAGUAGGUAUCAUAACGUUGGUUGGACAGGUGGGAAGUGGGGACACUCCAGUACAGUAGGUCGGAUGCCAAUAAACCCCACAGAAGAAGAGGCGAUGGAGACAACGGUUGACAGUGUCCUUCGCUCUUCCUGUUCAGGCACUGUUUUCCCUGCAGUUCUGUUAACAAGGGCAGGU
This is a long non-coding RNA of Oncorhynchus tshawytscha (Chinook salmon), 646 nucleotides long. Lineage: Eukaryota; Metazoa; Chordata; Actinopteri; Salmoniformes; Salmonidae. The record is from Ensembl.